GUGGGGAAUAUUGGACAAUGGGGGGAACCCUGAUCCAGCCAUGCCGCGUGUGUGAAGAAGGCCUUUUGGUUGUAAAGCACUUUAAGUUGGGAGGAAGGGCAGUAAGUUAAUACCUUGCUGUUUUGACGUUACCGACAGAAUAAGCACCGGCUAACUUCGUGCCAGCAGCCGCGGUAAUACGAAGGGUGCAAGCGUUAAUCGGAAUUACUGGGCGUAAAGCGCGCGUAGGUGGUUUUGUAAGUUGGAGGUGAAAUCCCCGGGCUCAACCUGGGAACUGCCUCCAAAACUGCAUGACUAGAGUACGGUAGAGGGUAGUGGAAUUUCCUGUGUAGCGGUGAAAUGCGUAGAUAUAGGAAGGAACACCAGUGGCGAAGGCGACUACCUGGACUGAUACUGACACUGAGGUGCGAAAGCGUGGGGAGCAAACAGGAUUAGAUACCCCGGUAGUCC
Molecule: ribosomal RNA, 450 nt
Filed under: uncultured bacterium
Lineage: Bacteria
Description: partial 16S ribosomal RNA
Rfam family: Bacterial small subunit ribosomal RNA
Source: RNAcentral